AAGUCGUAACAAGGUUUCCGUAGGUGAACCUGCGGAAGGAUCAUUAACACGUGAUACUCACGUAUUAAACCAAUUGUGAACUGUUGUCGGUCCCGUUGUCGAUGUUGGAGUGGCAGGGAGAAUAAGUAGGUGUGGCCUGCGUUCGCGUAGUCCUAACUUCCUGUCUAAGCGUCCGACGCUAAGCACAUAUCGACCAUGGUAGAUGAAGGAGUGGAGCUUAUUAAUGUUUGCACCCUAACUUGCUUCGCGACUGGUCCCGCUCACCCUUUUUAAUAUUAUAACUAAUCUGUAUGUCUCUUUGAAUUCCUGACUUCGGUUGGUCGAGUUUGAUUAGAUGUCGUAUAUUACAAAUACGAAACAACUCUUAGCAACGGAUAUCUUGGUUCUC
Molecule: unclassified non-coding RNA, 388 nt
Filed under: fungal sp.
Lineage: Eukaryota; Fungi
Description: partial internal transcribed spacer region
Rfam family: Eukaryotic small subunit ribosomal RNA (bases 1-46)
Source: RNAcentral